CCCUUAGAUGUUCUGGGCCGCACGCGCGCUACGCUGAUGCAUUCAACGAGUCUAAAACCUGCUCUGAUAGGGGUGGGUAAUCUUUUGAAUGUGCAUCGUGAUUGGGAUAGAUGAUUGCAAUUUUUCAUCUUCAACGAGGAAUACCUAGUAAACGCAAGUCAUCAGCUUGCAUUGAUUACGUCCCUGCCCUUUGUACACACCGCCCGUCGCUCCUACCGAUUGAAUGAUCCGAUGAAUAUCAUGGAUUGAGGAUGCAAGUAGGUUCGCCUAUCUUCAUCUUCGAGAAGUGAAGUAAAUCUUAUCAUUUAGAGGAAGGAGAAGUCGUAACA
This 329-nucleotide ribosomal RNA is filed under the name uncultured eukaryote. Its description in RNAcentral is "partial 18S ribosomal RNA". It matches the Rfam family "Eukaryotic small subunit ribosomal RNA", at positions 1470 to 1796 of the family's 1831-position model. The record is from RNAcentral.